This 526-nucleotide ribosomal RNA is filed under the name uncultured bacterium. RNAcentral's name for it is "bacterial SSU rRNA". It matches the Rfam family "Bacterial small subunit ribosomal RNA", at positions 355 to 874 of the family's 1533-position model. The record is from RNAcentral.
UCGGGAAUUUUGGGCAAUGGGCGCAAGCCUGACCCAGCAACGCCGCGUGAAGGAUGAAGCUUUUCGGAGUGUAAACUUCAUAAGAAUGGGGCGAAUAAAGAGGGGCUAAUACCCCCUCCUAUGACGGUACCAUUUGUAAGCUCCGGCUAACUCCGUGCCAGCAGCCGCGGUAAUACGGGGGGAGCAAGCGUUGUUCGGAUUUACUGGGCGUAAAGGGCGCGUAGGCGGCGCAACAAGUCACUUGUGAAAUCUCCGGGCUUAACCCGGAGCGGCCAAGUGAUACUGUCGUGCUAGAGUGCGGAAGGGGCUACUGGAAUUCUCGGUGUAGCGGUGAAAUGCGUAGAUAUCGAGAGGAACACCUGCGGCGAAGGCGGGUAGCUGGGCCGACACUGACGCUGAGGCGCGAAAGCCAGGGGAGCGAACGGGAUUAGAUACCCCGGUAGUCCUGGCCUUAAACGAUGGAUGCUUGGUGUCCGAGGUUACAUAGUCCUCGGGUGCCGGCGCUAACGCAUUAAGCAUCCCGCCU